This 700-nucleotide long non-coding RNA is filed under the name Gallus gallus (chicken). Lineage: Eukaryota; Metazoa; Chordata; Aves; Galliformes; Phasianidae. The record is from RNAcentral.
GGUCCUUUGAAAUAUCUGGAAGCCACUCUGACAUUGUACUCCUGGCCAGGGUGAUAGAACUCAGCCAAACCCCAAUCUAUUAGUCUAAGCUUUCUGUGCUCAUGAUCAAUCAUGACGUUGUGAGGUUUCACAUCUCUGUGCAUGAUUCCCAUGCUAUGGCAGUAAUCUAGAGCCUUCAAAAUCUCAUACAUGUAGAAUCGAAUAUCAUAAUCUGUUAAUGUCUGGUAUAAUUGCUUAAAGUCUGUGUUGUUUACAUGUUCAAAAACCAAAGCAGGGGUCCGAGACACAGGAUCUUUUACUAUAUCUGCAAGAGUGAUUAUAUUGGGACCGCCUCGCAAGUUUUCUAAGAUCUUGAUUUCACGCUUGAUUUUCUUCUUUUUAACAGGCUUGAGAAUUUUAACAACUACUUUUUCAUUAUUUGUAAUGUUGAUGGCUUCAAAUACUUCACUGUAUUUGCCUCGGCCUAAUUUUCGAACUAGCUGGUAGUCAUCUUGAUUUCCCCACUCAACCACAUGCGACUCGUAGUCCCAGUACUCCCGGGGUCUGUGUGUGUUCACAUCCGUGUAAACCCUGGCCCUGCUCGGCACGGGUCCCGACAUAUCAGACAGGUUGGCAGGUGGAAGUGAUGAGAUGUCUGAAACCAGAGGCUACCCAAUCUCCAAAGUAGGACAGAGGAGAAAGGCCUCAGACAGGCCUCCGG